GGGUGAUGCUGUGAUGUGCCGAUUGAAAACGCGUGUGUGAAGCGGCAGGCUGAAGCAAUUAGUUACCACAAUCAGGGGUGAUCUGAAGGCCCGGUGGGAAUCAGAAUGCUCUGGAUUAUUCUCCAUUAUGCUAUUACAUAAAAUUUAAUUAACCUGAAACCAAAAUGAUAAUCAACAAUGACAACCUACCCCUGCUGAAAAGCAGCACUGAAGCUGCUGGAGGGAUGAGCUGGCUGAAGGGGAGGCAGCGGCAGAGAAGGGAUUCUAUUAAUGGAAGGAAGAGUGAAAGAGAAGGAAGCUCAGGAAGGUCUCAUAGAAGAUUCACAGAGAAAGUAUGUAAGAUUAAGGACAAAAUUAAUUUCAUACUGUUUCUUUCUUUGACUGCUGCUGAAUGUAUGGCAUGUGGGACAAACCGGUGCCUGGCUUAACUACAGAAAAUUGAUAGCAGCUGUACUUCUGUGGGGAUUAGAAGGAACUGCUUCCUGACUCACAGGUCUGUGUAAAAUAUAUCCAUGCACAACUUGGCUUAAUGUAUUCUUCAACAGAUAAAGCUAGCAAGUUAAGGAACCCAAAAAUGUUUCUUUUUAAUUUACCACAAACACCAUCAUUUGUUAUUCUUGUCAGUUCUUUUAUUGGUUUUCAUCCUAAAGACUAGCACAUUUACAGCAUACAUGGAUUGGAUGAACUAGAAUAUAUAAAACAGUAGCCAUAUGAUAUAUUAAUACUGCCCAAAACCAAAUAAAUAAAAAUAUUUCAAUGCACAAAGCUUGGCAAAUACAGUUGUCUUGGGACAAAACAGUUUUGUAUUAUACAAUAAUUUUACAUGUAUAAAUGAAACAAAAGGCAACUGUGCUGUAGGUACUUUCACAGAACAUACACAGAACAUACUUGGCAACAGUUGGUUUUUUUUUUACCUUUGUAUGUUUUAUAAUUUAAAAAAAUGUACUCAAAAAAGACCAUUAGACAGAACUUAUUUUUACAGUAAUCCUUAAUUUUGCCUCUCCUGUGCAACAGAAAAGCUUACUUCACCCUUGUGAAGCGUCCUAUGUGGAUUUCAAGUUUCACAGUUUUCCUUUUUUGAUGAACUGCCCAAGAUCUUACUGUUCAUUGCACCCUUUAAACAAGCCCAUCAACGUGCAUGUAUUGACACUGGCGUAUAUAUAAAAUGUUAGCUGGACAACCAUGUUUUACGUGUAAGCAUACUGAAACCAGGAUAUUUUAAACAAAAUAACGCCAUACUUGAGACUGGUAUUCCACCACUUUGAAAAGGUGAGCAAAAACCAUGCACAUACAAAAUUCAGCCACUUUUUCUGAUUACAUUGGUAUAGAAAAUAAAUAAAGGCUCACUAAGCUUGAGAGCAGAUCUAAUGAUUGUUGGACACAGUGUGAGAGAGUGGCUCUGUUAAUUGUUACAACAGACCUCUUGUUCUUCUCUUCUGAAGCUGAACAUCACAAGAUUUUUAGUGUAACAAUACAGGACUUAGAAUAUAAUUCAAUAUGUUUGAAAUAUACAAAAUAAAAUUAUCAACUCAUAAAAACUAAGGGAUACAAAGAGUAUAGUUUAUACAAAAAUAAAUGUAGCAUUUAAUAAUGGGCCUGGGACUGAAGGUUGAGCAGAGAUCAACCAAAGAGAUCCCAUUGAAAAGUUUUCUCACCAUAUAUUUGUUUACUCGUUAGCAAAAAAAAUACAAACCAACAUUUAUUUAUUUAUUAUGGUGAACAGGGUUGGUAAAAUUACAAGGGACUGUUCUACUGUAGGUGAUUUGCUCACACCUGGGACAGGUACUACAAUACAUAGAUUUUGCACACAGUUCAGUGUUUUGUUAUCUGAAAGAGACAGAACUAACAGUAACAGCCUCACUCAGCAGAACACUCUCUGACCUGGCUCUCUGACAUGCUGCUCAGCGUUUGAUUGCAACAAGCAAAAUGCAAAAACUGCUGGACCUGUAACCCCCAAACCUGCAUGGGAGCAGAAUGAACAUGACUGACUGAGAGAGCAGUGACAGCACAGACAAACAUCAGUGAGAGGGAGAAAGGAACCAGAAAACAGCCAUAUACUUACCUGGCUGUUGCUACUUUCACAAGAAUAAAUGGGCAGAUUUUUCUAUUCUAAAACUGACAUUCUUAGAAGCUAAGAAGAACAGGGCACAGUGUGCUGAAGGCUGAUUUAAUCCUGUUAGGUAUUCUGUUAAAAUCUUGUUCAAAUUUGGAAAUUAAGGUUUAGCUGCUUUUUAAAAAGGUAUCGUAGUUUCAAAGGCAUUCUUUGGGAGAUUAUUUCUGAGGAGAUCUGUUGAAUGUUUUUUAUCAAACACUUAUCAAACUGAUCACCUUGUCAUAAGCUAGAACACACCUGCAGUUCUAGCGCAGUACUGGUAGUACAUGAACAGUUCCUUUCUAUCAACAUGGGGCAUUGGCACCUUCCUCAGAAAUGCCCUGAAAACACUCAUACUUGCCCUCCCUGGAUUCUGAACACCUGCCCAGGUAAAAUGCAAAGAAAUCAAUUUGGGUUAUGGAGUAGUAGGAAUGCAUUGGGCACUUUCAGCAUUUUUGUACUGACAUACAAAAUUGACAUGAGAGAAAAAAAUCAAA
Pezoporus occidentalis (night parrot) is the source of this 2589-nucleotide long non-coding RNA. RefSeq lists it as uncharacterized. The record is from RefSeq and is a predicted model, not a curated record. The transcript has 2 exons. NCBI's taxonomy places the organism in Eukaryota, Metazoa, Chordata, Aves, Psittaciformes, Psittacidae.